CUACGGAGGAUCCGAGCGUUAUCCGGAUUUAUUGGGUUUAAAGGGUGCGCAGGCGGCCAUUUAAGUCAGCGGUUAAAUCGUGGGGCUCAACCCCAUUCUGCCAUUGAUACUGGGUGGCUUGAUUGCGGUCGAGGUUGGCGGAAUUCGUUGUGUAGCGGUGAAAUGCAUAGAUAUGACGAAGAACACCGAUUGCGUAGGCAGCUGACCAGACCGCAAAUGACGCUCAUGCACGAAAGUGCGGGGAUCGAACAGGAUUAGAUACCCUGGUAGUCCGCACAGUAAACGAUGAAUACUUGUUUUCGGCGAUAUAAUGUCGGAGGCAAAGCGAAAGCGAUAAGUAUUCCACCUGGGGAGUACGCCGGCAACGGUGAAACUCAAAUGAAUUGACGGGG
RNAcentral lists this ribosomal RNA (392 nucleotides) under uncultured bacterium. RNAcentral describes it as "partial 16S ribosomal RNA". It matches the Rfam family "Bacterial small subunit ribosomal RNA", at positions 523 to 918 of the family's 1533-position model. The record is from RNAcentral.